CCAGGUUCAAUAAUUGCAUGGGUGACCUGACUGGAGGAUGUUUCCCAGGUUCGAUGAUUGCAUGGGUGACCCGACUGGAUGAUGUUUUCCAGGUAGCACAUGUGGCUUAAGUGAUUUUCAGGUUCGGGCUGAUGAGGAGCCGGGUUCAAGUGCCAGAGUUGCAUGACUAUAUCUACCUUGAGAAGCUGAGGGGUCUUGCGGCUCAAAUUUACAUGCAUUCUACUAUUUCUCAUGUAUUGUAUCAUGUAAUUCCUGUAUUUGUUAAUUUUGGAGACAUUGGUUUGUAUAAGUCAUUAUGGGUAACCACUUGUAUAUUCUAAAUGAAAAUUGAAAUUUCCCUUUAUGCU
Molecule: long non-coding RNA, 347 nt
Organism: Magnolia sinica
Lineage: Eukaryota; Viridiplantae; Streptophyta; Magnoliopsida; Magnoliales; Magnoliaceae
Exons: 2
Source: RefSeq, a predicted model, not a curated record